Molecule: long non-coding RNA, 430 nt
Filed under: Androctonus crassicauda
Lineage: Eukaryota; Metazoa; Arthropoda; Arachnida; Scorpiones; Buthidae
Source: RNAcentral
AAUCUGGCCUGCUGGAAUCCCAAAUACUUGUACACUUUACCCUCUUCCAUGGAUUCAAUAGUGUCUCUAUUUUCAAGAGUUUAGUCUCCUUUCUUUAGGACUCUUUUUUCUAUGUGGAGUGUUUUGCACUUGUCUAGGCCAAACUCCAUGCAGAUUUACUUUGAAAAUGUGUGCGUGAUUUGUAACAGCUGUUGUAAUUGUGUUUGUGUUGAGGCAUACAGCUUAAUGUCGUCCAUGUAUAAAAGAUGUAAGUGUAUAGGCUAUUGUUCGGUUUUGUCUAAUGUUGCAGUCACAAUUCGAUGUAUUCAGUUUGUUGGAAUGUGGAUUUAGAGGGAGGCAGAACCAAAGUGGGCUCAGAGAAUUGCCCUGAAAAAUGCUACGUCUAAUGUGUAUGGGUUCUGUGGCUACGUGAUUGUUAUUUAUGGUGACG